AACAAGGCAAGUCUGACCAAGCACACGGUUCAACCCAAGCGAGUGUACUUAACAAGAUCUCGAACAAGAAAGAUAAUGGAAAAUCAGGAGCAAGUACAGAACCUACAGGGGCAGGUCUCCGAAUUGAAAGAUCAGCUUUCUGAAAUCAUGAGACUAAUGAAGGAAAUGUCUCAGAACAAACCUACUUCAGAACCUAACCCACCAUUACCUCCUCCGCCUCCUACAACAAAUGAUCCUCAGCAAGCUUCAACCUCUUUUACCUUUCAGUCUCCCAUUCCGGACCCGACAAUCACUGUCAAUCCGGUGACCAUAAAUAAUGACCCACCUUUUUCCUAUUACCCGGCCGUCUCAAAUGCCGAGCCUCACCAUUCAAUCCCGAUCCCUCCAGUUUACUCCACCCCUCAGCUCCCAGUUGGAGGAGCAUGUCAUACGGUGGAAGGAGAACAUAGGGCGAGAGAUAACGAGAAACUAUCUGCCCUAGAAGAAAGACUGAGGGCAAUAGAGGGGCUGAACAUGUAUGGUUCAGUCGAUGUGUCGUCACUGAGAUUGGUGCCAGAUGUGGUGGUACCACCCAAAUUCAAGGUUCCGGAUUUCGACAAGUACACCGGAAACUUGGAUCCCCGCAUCCACCUGGCAACCUACAUUGCCAAAAUGUCUGCCUUAACGGAAGACGAUAGACUUCUCAUUCACUUCUUUCACGAGAGCCUCUCCGGAGCAGCUCUGAGAUGGUGCAUACAAUUGGACAGGAGCAAGCUGCACUCCUGGAAGGAUUUAGCCGAUACCUUUCUAAAGCAGUAUAAAUUCAAUUGUGAUGCGGCACCCACAAGGAGGGACCUCCAGAACCUGGUACAGAAAGACCGGGAAGGUUUCAAGCAGUAUGCCCAACGAUGGAGGGAGAAGGCUGCAGAAGUAUAUCCUCCGGUGACCGACAAUGAACUCUGCUCCCUAUUCAUCGAAACAUUGAAGGCUCCCUACUUCAACCUGAUGAUUGGAAAUACCUCCAACAGCUUCUCAGAUAUCAUCCAAGCUGGUGAGAGAAUUGAAGCUAAUCUGAGAAUAGGAAGACUACAGGAGUUGGCUGAGAACCCUGUAAAGAAGACUGCCAGCUUUGGCAAGAAAAAGGAAGGUGAUGUGCACUCUGUCACCCGUCAGAAUAAUUACUCCCAGUUUCCCCAAAAUAAUUACCGGCCAUAUCCUCCCUCCCAUGGCCAGACCAUCGCAAACAUUCCACCUUCUUUCCCUAAUUAUCCACAACCACGCCCACAAUACGCCCCACCCACAAAUUUCCAACCAAGACCACCUCCUCCACCAACUCAACCACGACCACCACAAAAUAACCCGAGACCUCCAAGGAAUCCUGAUCCACCCCUUCCCCUCCCUCUCAGUGAAAUAUACCGAUACCUUGUCGGUAUAAACCAAAUCGUACCAGUCCCUUUGGACCCAAUCCAGCCGCCGUAUCCCAGGUGGUAUGAUGCCACAGCCCGUUGUGAGUAUCAUGGAGGAGCACAAGGGCAUUCAACCGACAACUGCGGGGCACUCAGAGGGAGGGUGCACGCCUUAAUCCGGAACGGGUGGUUGAAGAUUGAGGGAAACGGUUCCCUCCCCAAUGUCACCUCAAAUCCACUGCCCAACCAUAAUGCGGGUAGUGGUGUAAAUAUGAUUGAGUCUGAGGGAGAAAGAUCGACACUGGAAGUGGAUAAGUUGGUCCCUUACUUCAAAGAAAUUUUUGCCAUAUCAGCAAGAGAAGGUUACCUUGGCCCCCAGGCAACGGGAUUAGAGGAGAAUACGGGGUGUCCUUAUCAUGGAGGGGCAGCUGAUCAUGAGCUGCGAGACUGUGAGGGGUUCAGGCAAGAGGUCCGGAACUUAUUGUCUUUUAAGGUUUUGAGAUGUCAGAAGAGGUCAAAAACGGAAGGGGAAGUGAACACCACAAGAUUCAGCCAAACUGCUUCUACCUCCAAGCCCAGAAUCACCUUCUCACCCCCAGUAGCCUCACCACCAGUAACAGUUAUUCAGACUCCGCCACAGCUCCCCAUCACCAACACUCAUGCUGUCCCUUGGAACUAUAAUUUCCAAGUUUUUACUCAGGGAGCGUCAAGCAGCACAUCCGCUCCUAGCCUCGCCUCACCUCCGGCACUACCAAAGCCAUGUUUCGCCCCUCACGAGCACUUCAGGAUGACUUAUGCUGGACCUGCCAGCAACAUCGCUCCCCAAACAAGUCCCCAGCCUAUUAUUGCAAUAAAACCCUCUCCACCUGAGCAAGAAGUCAAGUUUAUAACCCGAAGUGGGAGGUGUUACGGGAAC
RNAcentral lists this unclassified non-coding RNA (2301 nucleotides) under Hevea brasiliensis (rubber tree). Lineage: Eukaryota; Viridiplantae; Streptophyta; Magnoliopsida; Malpighiales; Euphorbiaceae. The record is from RNAcentral.